UGGGGAAUAUUGGACAAUGGGCGAAAGCCUGAUCCAGCCAUGCCGCGUGAGUGACGAAGGCCUUAGGGUUGUAAAAUCCUUUCGCCGAGGACGAUAAUGACGGUACUCGGAGAAGAAGCUCCGGCUAACUUCGUGCCAGCAGCCGCGGUAAUACGAAGGGGGCUAGCGUUGUUCGGAUUUACUGGGCGUAAAGCGCACGUAGGCGGACUUUUAAGUCAGGGGUGAAAUCCCGGGGCUCAACCCCGGAACUGCCUUUGAUACUGGAAGUCUUGAGUAUGGUAGAGGUGAGUGGAAUUCCGAGUGUAGAGGUGAAAUUCGUAGAUAUUCGGAGGAACACCAGUGGCGAAGGCGGCUCACUGGACCAUUACUGACGCUGAGGUGCGAAAGCGUGGGGAGCAAACAGGAUUAGAUACCCCAGUAGUCCCUGAGCGGGCUGGCAAGGCGCAU
Molecule: ribosomal RNA, 447 nt
Filed under: uncultured bacterium
Lineage: Bacteria
Description: bacterial SSU rRNA
Rfam family: Bacterial small subunit ribosomal RNA
Source: RNAcentral